CCUACGGGUGGCAGCAGUGAGGAAUAUUGGUCAAUGGGCGGGAGCCUGAACCAGCCAAGCCGCGUGAAGGAAGAAGGCGCCAGGCGUCGUAAACUUCUUUUGUCGGGGCACAAAGGGCGCCACGCGCGGCGUUGUGAGUGUACCCGAAGAAAAAGCAUCGGCAAACUCCGUGCCAGCAGCCGCGGUAAUACGGAGGAUGCGAGCGUUAUCGGGAUUUAUUGGGGUUAAAGGGUGCGUAGGCGGUCCGGAAAGUCAGCGGGAAAAGCCCGGGGCUCAACCCCGGCGAGCCGUUGAAACUGUCGGACUAGAGACGGCGAGAAGAAGGCGGAAUGCGUGGUGUAGCGGUGAAAUGCAUAGAUAUCACGCAGAACCCCGAUGGCGAAGGCAGCCUUCCGGCGCCCUACUGACGCUGAGGCACGAAAGUGCGGGGAUCGAACAGGAUUAGAUACCCUAGUAGUA
This 459-nucleotide ribosomal RNA is filed under the name uncultured bacterium. RNAcentral's name for it is "partial 16S ribosomal RNA". It matches the Rfam family "Bacterial small subunit ribosomal RNA", at positions 338 to 795 of the family's 1533-position model. The record is from RNAcentral.